GAUGGCGGUGUAAACAAAGUCGAACGAUGGAGAGUAAAAUAGUCUAAAACAUAGGGCUGGGCGAUAAAACAAUAACAAUAUAUAUCGCGAUAGACAUUUGAUCAAUGUCAAUAGAAAAGGUGGUCGAUAGAACGUUCGAUCAUUUCACUGAGUUCUGUUGGAAGAAAAUAGUACGGCAUUCUGGGGGGUGUAGUCAGAGUAAAGGGCUUUGGUCUCACGACCUAUCACGGCCGAGCCUGAACCGCAUUCUGGGAAAUGCUAACAUAAGCUACAUGCAUUUACGUCUGUUAGGAAUAAAUAGGUGAAUAAGGGAAUAAGCGGUAGAAAAUGGAUUGAUGAUUUCACUAUCACAAGGUGGGAUACUUACAGGAAUUGUUUAAAACGCUGGCUUUGCUGUGAUGGAGUCUCGUAAAGUAGCCGAGACAUUCAAAUUCUGUAUCGAUGUACAAUUCAAACAUAUUCCUGAUGACGCUGGGCUUUACCCGACUUGUUACCGGCGGUGCAUUGAUAAGAAGCGUUUGGAUUGUGCCCAAAAACUGGCCAAUCAUCAUAUUGAAGACAGAGACGGUGUGGCCAUGGAAGAGCGGUACCACGAGUCCUGUCAGCGUCAUGACAAAGUCUGAUGCAACACUUACUGGAACCGCAGAUGAAGAAGUGUGAGUAAUUUAAUUGAAUUAGCAAUUAUAUAUACACUAUAAAUUACAAUUCAUAUGUGCAGCACAGUGGGAGAGGGGUUAGUGCAUCUGCCUCACAAUACAAAGGCCCUGAGUAGUCCUGAGUUCAAUCCCGGGCUGGGGAUCUUUCUUUUUUGCAUGUUCUCCCCGUGACUGCGGCUUCCUCCCACCUCCAAAGACAUGCACCUGGGGAUAGGUUGAUUGGCAACACUAAAUGGUCCCUAGUGUGUGAAUGUGAGUGUGAAUGUUGUGCGUCUAUCUGUGUUGGCCCUGUGAUGAGGGGGCCACUUGUCCAGGGUGUAGAACAACAUGAAGCAGGCGAAAUGAUUUCAUCAUCGUCAUCGUGGACGAAAACAACACUGCUCUGUACACUGUAAUGGGGGCCAAUUGUGAUUUCUGAGAGGAAAACAUGCUGCAAAUUAGGAGACGGUGGUGUCUCGCUCUCCUGCAGAACUUCCCCAUGCCGUCUGAAGAAGACCGAUUGCAGGACAGAAAACGGCGACGAGUGCAAGGAAGGCUACAGCUUGUGGUCACCAACGCUGCUAAUAAAGACACAGGUGAUUAGAUAACUGGAUAACGGGCUCCAGCUGAGAUAUCUACUCACCUGGCAUUGGCUUCACAGCCGGCUCCUGCACAUGGCCCGUGUAUGUCACGCUACGCUGGUGCUUCCUGCCAUCACCCAGUCAUAUCAUUACCUGCACAUUACCUACCUUCUCUGUAUCCUGGUAUCUGUACAUUUAAACCCCAUACAAACAAGACGUGCAAACAGUCCCUGAGAGAAUAUAAAGAUGUACAGGUGGGAUCAUUGGUUUCCCCAGGUGAACGUGGGUACUGACAGGGGACGCGACGUGAACGCUGAUCCAUUGUCCCCCAGGCAUGCAAACGUUGAACACGGAACAAAGCACAUACUUAUUGGGGUGUUACCAUUUAGUGGUGAAUGGUACAGAAUAUGUACUUCACUGUGCAA
Long non-coding RNA from Entelurus aequoreus (snake pipefish), 1641 nucleotides. RefSeq lists it as uncharacterized. The transcript is spliced from 5 exons. The record is from RefSeq and is a predicted model, not a curated record. Lineage: Eukaryota; Metazoa; Chordata; Actinopteri; Syngnathiformes; Syngnathidae.